This 29-nucleotide non-coding RNA is filed under the name Homo sapiens (human). The record is from RNAcentral. Lineage: Eukaryota; Metazoa; Chordata; Mammalia; Primates; Hominidae.
UCCCCAUGACUCAAUCAAGGACUGUGCUA